GCUUUCUUAGCACAGUCAGUAGUAUGUCAGUCUCCUAAACUAAAGGUUCUGAAUUUGAGUUUCAGAGGGGGCA
Molecule: transfer RNA, 73 nt
Filed under: Chelonia mydas (Green sea turtle)
Lineage: Eukaryota; Metazoa; Chordata; Testudines; Cheloniidae
Rfam family: tRNA
About the family: Transfer RNA (tRNA) molecules are approximately 80 nucleotides in length.
Source: Rfam by way of RNAcentral